AUUAACAGCCAUAGUUUACCACCCUGAGCAAACCUGAUCUUGGAAGCUAAGCAGGGCUGGACCUGGUUAGUACUUGGAUGGGGGGGCAACAUGGGAAUAACAGGCGCUGUCUGGG
This 115-nucleotide ribosomal RNA is filed under the name Amphilophus citrinellus (Midas cichlid). The record is from RNAcentral. Lineage: Eukaryota; Metazoa; Chordata; Actinopteri; Cichliformes; Cichlidae.